Molecule: ribosomal RNA, 492 nt
Filed under: uncultured bacterium
Lineage: Bacteria
Description: partial 16S ribosomal RNA
Rfam family: Bacterial small subunit ribosomal RNA
Source: RNAcentral
GAUGAACGCUAGCUACAGGCUUAACACAUGCAAGUCGAGGGGAAACGCCAUCGAAAGCUUGCUUUUGAUGGGCGUCGACCGGCGCACGGGUGAGUAACGCGUAUCCAACCUGCCCACCACUUGGGGAUAACCUUGCGAAAGUAAGACUAAUACCCAAUGACGUCUCUAGAAGACAUCUGAAAGAGAUUAAAGAUUUAUCGGUGAUGGAUGGGGAUGCGUCUGAUUAGCUUGUUGGCGGGGUAACGGCCCACCAAGGCGACGAUCAGUAGGGGUUCUGAGAGGAAGGUCCCCCACAUUGGAACUGAGACACGGUCCAAACUCCUACGGGAGGCAGCAGUGAGGAAUAUUGGUCAAUGGACGAGAGUCUGAACCAGCCAAGUAGCGUGCAGGAUGACGGCCCUAUGGGUUGUAAACUGCUUUUAUAAGGGAAUAAAGUGAGUCUCGUGAGACUUUUUGCAUGUACCUUAUGAAUAAGGACCGGCUAAGUCCGUG